This 550-nucleotide ribosomal RNA is filed under the name uncultured bacterium. Its description in RNAcentral is "bacterial SSU rRNA". It matches the Rfam family "Bacterial small subunit ribosomal RNA", at positions 355 to 896 of the family's 1533-position model. The record is from RNAcentral.
UAGGGAAUCUUCCACAAUGGGCGCAAGCCAGAUGGAGCAACACCGCGUGAGUGAAGAAAGGUUUCGGCUCGUAAAGCUCUGUUGUUGGAGAAGAACGUGCGUGAGAGUAACUGUUCACGCAGUGACGGUAUCCAACCAGAAAGUCACGGCUAACUACGUGCCAGCAGCCGCGGUAAUACGUAGGUGGCAAGCGUUAUCCGGAUUUAUUGGGCGUAAAGCGAGCGCAGGCGGUUGCUUAGGUCUGAUGUGAAAGCCUUCGGCUUAACCGAAGAAGUGCAUCGGAAACCGGGCGACUUGAGUGCAGAAGAGGACAGUGGAACUCCAUGUGUAGCGGUGGAAUGCGUAGAUAUAUGGAAGAACACCAGUGGCGAAGGCGGCUGUCUGGUCUGCAACUGACGCUGAGGCUCGAAAGCAUGGGUAGCGAACAGGAUUAGAUACCCUGGUAGUCCAUGCCGUAAACGAUGAGUGCUAGGUGUUGGAGGGUUUCCGCCCUUCAGUGCCGGAGCUAACGCAUUAAGCACUCCGCCUGGGGAGUACGACCGCAAGGUUG